CGACUGUUUAACAAAAACAUAGCUUCUAGAAAUAAUUAGAAGUAAAAUCCUGCCCGGUGAAAGCAAUUUUAAACGGCCACAAUCGUGCUAAGGUAGCGUAAUCAGUUGUCCUUUUGCUGAGGACUAGUAUGAAAGGAAAAACGAGGCUCAACUGUCUCUAUUAAAAAAAUAGAAAUUAGUUUUUAGAUGAAAAAAUCUAAAUAAAAUUAAAGGACGAAAAGACCCUAUAGAGUUUAAAUAUAAUUAUACUAUUCACAAAUUAAACAAAGCGAAUAGAAUAAAUAUUUUAAUUGGGGCAACAUAGGAACAAGAAAUUUCCUUAUAGUAAACAUUUAAUAUCAUAAAAAUGAAAAUCCUCAAAGAGAUAAAGAAAAACUACCUUAGGGAUAACAGCGUAAUUUUUCUAAAGAGACCUAAUCGAAAGAAAAGUUUGCGACCUCGAUGUUGGACUAAGGCAUCAAAAUGGUGAAGAAAC
RNAcentral lists this ribosomal RNA (475 nucleotides) under Amathia vidovici. RNAcentral describes it as "partial 16S ribosomal RNA". It matches the Rfam family "Bacterial large subunit ribosomal RNA", at positions 1797 to 2562 of the family's 2925-position model. Lineage: Eukaryota; Metazoa; Bryozoa; Gymnolaemata; Ctenostomatida; Vesiculariidae. The record is from RNAcentral.